RNAcentral lists this ribosomal RNA (1065 nucleotides) under uncultured Bacillaceae bacterium. Its description in RNAcentral is "bacterial SSU rRNA". It matches the Rfam family "Bacterial small subunit ribosomal RNA", at positions 60 to 1104 of the family's 1533-position model. The record is from RNAcentral. Lineage: Bacteria; Bacillati; Bacillota; Bacilli; Caryophanales; Bacillaceae.
AGUCGAGCGGACUGAAUGAAAGCUUGCUUUCAUUCGGUUAGCGGCGGACGGGUGAGUAACACGUGGGCAACCUGCCCGUAAGACCGGGAUAACUUCGGGAAACCGGAGCUAAUACCGGAUAACACCGAAGAUCGCAUGAUCUUUGGUUGAAAGGCGGCUUUGGCUGUCACUUACGGAUGGGCCCGCGGCGCAUUAGCUAGUUGGUGAGGUAACGGCUCACCAAGGCGACGAUGCGUAGCCGACCUGAGAGGGUGAUCGGCCACACUGGGAUUGAGACACGGCCCAGACUCCUACGGGAGGCAGCAGUAGGGAAUCUUCCGCAAUGGACGAAAGUCUGACGGAGCAACGCCGCGUGAGCGAAGAAGGUCUUCGGAUUGUAAAGCUCUGUUGUUAGGGAAGAACAAGUACCGUUCGAAGAGGGCGGUACCGUGACGGUACCUAACGAGAAUGCCACGGCUAACUACGUGCCAGCAGCCGCGGUAAUACGUAGGUGGCAAGCGUUGUCCGGAAUUAUUGGGCGUAAAGCGCGCGCAGGCGGUUCCUUAAGUCUGAUGUGAAAGCCCACGGCUCAACCGUGGAGGGUCAUUGGAAACUGGGGGACUUGAGUGCAGAAGAGGAGAGCGGAAUUCCACGUGUAGCGGUGAAAUGCGUAGAGAUGUGGAGGAACACCAGUGGCGAAGGCGGCUCUCUGGUCUGUAACUGACGCUGAAACACGAAAGCGUGGGUAGCAAACAGGAUUAGAUACCCUGGUAGUCCACGCCCUAAACGAUGCAUAUUUGGUGUGGGUCAUUCAGUUGAUCCGUGCCGGAGCUAACGCGUUAAAUAUGCCGCCUGGGGAGUACAGUCGCAAGGCUGAAACUCAAAGGAAUUGACGGGGGCCCGCACAAGCGGUGGAGCAUGUGGUUCAAUUCGACGCAACGCGAAGAACCUUACCUGGGCUCGAACGGCUGGCUAACGGCGGUGGAAACAUCGCUACCCCGCAAGGGGGUCCAGUCGAGGUGCUGCAUGGCUGUCGUCAGCUCGUGUCGUGAGAUGUUGGGUUAAGUCCCGCAACGAGCGCAACCC